RNAcentral lists this ribosomal RNA (263 nucleotides) under uncultured archaeon. RNAcentral's name for it is "partial 16S ribosomal RNA". It matches the Rfam family "Archaeal small subunit ribosomal RNA", at positions 717 to 982 of the family's 1478-position model. The record is from RNAcentral.
AGACGUCUACAUUAGAUACCCGCGUAGUCCUGGCCGUAAACGAUGUGGACUUGGUGUUGGAAUGGCUCCGAGCUGCUCCAGUGCCGAAGGGAAGCUGUUAAGUCCACCGCCUGGGAAGUACGGUCGCAAGACUGAACUUAAAGGAAUUGCGGGGGAGCACCACAACGCGUGGAGCCUGCGGUUUAAUUGGAUUCAACGCCGGACAUCUCACCAGGGGCGGCAGCAGAAUGAUGGCCAGGUUGAUGACCUUGCUUGACAGGCUG